Molecule: long non-coding RNA, 905 nt
Organism: Raphanus sativus (radish)
Lineage: Eukaryota; Viridiplantae; Streptophyta; Magnoliopsida; Brassicales; Brassicaceae
Exons: 3
Source: RefSeq, a predicted model, not a curated record
UUGCCUAUAAAUACCCAGCUCCAACCUUGGUUUCUCCUCCUGCAACAAAGAAAAAAAAAAAUUAGAAGUUAGAGAGAUAAAAGAGUUAGAGAGAAGUGAGAGAAGAGAAAGUGUGAAGCUUUGGAGAAGCUGAGCCACCAAGAGUCGUCGCCGGAGCCACUGCACGCCAAGACCAAGCCAAGCUCAUCACCACCGUUCGUUGUAGUCGGUAAGGGCCGGAAACCGCCAUGCAUUUGAGUUUAGUUUCGUGCGUUUAGUAAAUCGUUCAUAACUUUCUAACCGUUGCGAAUCUCGUGCAUGCAAACCCACCAUCGUGUUCCUCUCGUCGAGACGAAUCCAUAGCCACCAGAAUCGUCGCAAUCGGAGCUCGGACGAAGCCGUACGAGCCCUCCAAAGUUUCGCCGGAAAUCGCCUCCACCACCACCGGACCACCGUUCUCCGCCGCCGGACCACCGUUCUCCGCCGCCGGACCACCGCUUCUCCGACGCCGGUCCGUCGCUUCUCCGCCGCCGGACUGCCAUCGCCGCCGAUUUGGAGUCUAUUUGAUCAGUUGGAGUUCAUAGAUACCACUUCUCUUCAUUUACUAAGGUGAGACCGAUGAGCAGGAGUGAUCAUAUCAGACUAGUGCUACUAUUUGGGCUCGUGGGCUUUAUCGUUUUAUCGUUUUAUCUUUUAUCAUUAUUGGGCCUUUAGGCCUUCGGACUUCUAUCGUUUACGCUACUUCCUAUUUUCAGACCUUCGGGCUUAUGUUGUUAUUAUAUUUCGGAUGUUUAUUUUUCGGAUUUGACUUUAUGGUAUUGUAUGACUUUAUGAUAUGACGUGGAUUUUAUUAUCCGUAUUAUUAUUAUUAUUUCCGCUGCGCUAUGAUUUAUUAUUAUUUUAAUCCCGAAUUUAUAUUCGAAAGA